CAAUCUGUCAGACUCUAUAGAGCUACGAGGGAGCAACAACGGGGAAAAGUGACAUGUUUCAAAAUUGACCAAUAGGGGGAGACAGCAGUCCAGAAACUUAUCAGUAAGCACUGCUUCGUUAUCAAGCCACUACAUAGAGGAAACCCUGUGACGGCCAGCACUGAGACAUCAGAGGUGUGGUUGGGCAUGUUCUCGCCUCCACAUCGUGACUACGGAAGGUUUGAGUAGGCCCACGGACUGUAUUCCAGUUAAAUAUGGCCAGGGGAGGAGGGGUGGACGUGAAUCUCACAGCUUACACGGAGCACCCGGCUGUGGGCGAAGGUCUUGGGAAACUUCUCAGCUUGAGUUCGAGCCUUGGCGUCAAAAUUUUGAGGUUUCCAUUUUCACCGUCCUCUUUAUCAUCAUCGGAGCAUAAACUGAUUGACGACUAACCUGCAAUUAGUUUGACAAGACAACCCCCAUCUGAGUGGCCUGUGAUCAUCUGAAUGAGUCAAAGAUGUAUGCUCGCCAGAUCCUGCUCUACAACACAAACAAUGAUGCUAUAUUAUGUUCUCUUAGCUUCUAGGUUAGGUUAAUAUAUAUAUAUAUAUAUAUAUAUAUAUAUGGAGUAGAAAUAUAUGAUGCAUAGACUCUUUUCUCUUCCAUGCUGUUCAAAAUGAGAAGACAAGAGGACAUGUAAUUGAAGUUCUAUACAUGUACGCUGAUCCUUUUGGGUCAGGAGACAAUAAUAAGGUAUAACAAGGGUAAAGGAAAUGUGUCUAAAUGUGUCCAUAUUUACUGUAACUGUAAAAGCAAUAAUUAAGCUAUUUCAACUUCUAGGCCUGUGACAAGAAAAAAAAAAAAAACAACUGGAUGAGGACCCAGUUUUAUUUUUCUAUUCAUACUAAUUGAGAACACCUGUGUUGGAAAACUACAGGCAAUAUGGUGAUGUUUGUUUGAAGCAACAUAAACUGUUUUAGAUGGUAAUUAAGAUGUUUUAGGAAAGUCAUGAAGAAACUAAAACUGAGUUGGUAUAUUGCAAAAAUAAAAAAAUAAAAAACAGUAGAAGCCAGUUGCACUCUGUUAAAAAAAAACAAUGUUGUUGAGACAAAAAUAAUAAAUUUCCCAUCCCAGGAGUUGUCUAGACUGCUUACUAUAGUUUUAAAUGUCCAAUCAGCCCAAGCAGAAAAACAUUAUUAUUAUUUAAGUUGUUUAAUUAUUGAAAGCCACACCACAUUAUUGGAUGUCUUUUUUUUCUGAUAUUGUGCAACCCUUUAUUAGACACUAUCCAAGUAUCAGGUAGGUGUUUUGGAGUGCUGUCCCACAA
Molecule: long non-coding RNA, 1306 nt
Organism: Xiphophorus couchianus (Monterrey platyfish)
Lineage: Eukaryota; Metazoa; Chordata; Actinopteri; Cyprinodontiformes; Poeciliidae
Exons: 3
Source: RefSeq, a predicted model, not a curated record